UAUACAGAGCUCACUUCUUUCUGCUUCCCAGAUCCAGCCCCCCACAGAGAACCGCUUCCUGGGAUUGCUCGGAAAGGCUCCAGUUCUCCUCUUCCACCGCUGGCUGCAAUGGCUUGACUCCUAAUUGAUGUCGGUGUAAAGGAGAGAGGCCCAACAGGAACCAGCCGCUAGACUCUGAAAGAUCACUGGAAACAAGAGGAUCUUUAUCCUUCAGGACAUCAUCUCAAGCCAGUCAUUUUCUGUGCUGUUCCCUUCGCUGUUACUGGAGAUUUGCUCCACCCCAGAGUUUUGUGCUUUCAUGGCAAAUCCACUGUGCUUGCUACAAAGGGAAAACUGAGUUUCGGCCAGCUAUAAUCCUGUGAGCAGUGGAAUCAAAGGAAGAGCAAUAAGCGAGGGGGUAAGAUCUGCAG
Molecule: long non-coding RNA, 410 nt
Organism: Trachemys scripta elegans
Lineage: Eukaryota; Metazoa; Chordata; Testudines; Emydidae
Exons: 3
Source: RefSeq, a predicted model, not a curated record